RNAcentral lists this unclassified non-coding RNA (244 nucleotides) under Hevea brasiliensis (rubber tree). Lineage: Eukaryota; Viridiplantae; Streptophyta; Magnoliopsida; Malpighiales; Euphorbiaceae. The record is from RNAcentral.
AAAAAAAAAAAAAAAAAAAAAAACCACAACUUAUUCUCUCACACAGGACUAGAUUGUUUUAAGAAUGAAAUCAUUUUAUUUCCAAAAAUAUCAUAAUUUUUCCCGAGCUCCCUCCUUACAAAACUGGUCCUGACAGCUGAAAUAUGAGCCGGUUUCGCUCCUCUACCUCCCUUCUUCUAUUCUUUUCUCGACUACCCUGAUUUUUAGUGCCCCUCGUAGGAAUUUAAGUGGGCCCUUUUUUUUU